Molecule: unclassified non-coding RNA, 300 nt
Organism: Bos taurus (domestic cattle)
Lineage: Eukaryota; Metazoa; Chordata; Mammalia; Artiodactyla; Bovidae
Rfam family: Metazoan signal recognition particle RNA
About the family: The signal recognition particle (SRP) is a universally conserved ribonucleoprotein. It is involved in the co-translational targeting of proteins to membranes.
Source: Ensembl
GCCAGGCGCGGUGGUGCGCGCCUGUAAUCCCAGCUACUCGGGAGGCUGAGGCUGGAGGAUCACUUGAGCUCAGGAGUUCUGGGCUGCAGUGCGCUAUGCCGAUCGGGUGUCCACACUAAGUUCGGCAUCAAUAUGGUGACCUCCCGGGAGCGAGGGGCCACCAGGUUGCCUAAGGAGGGGUGAACCAGCCCAGGUCGGAAACGGAGCAGGUCAAAACUCCCGUGCUGAUCAGAAGUGGGAUCGCGCCUGUGAAUAGCCACUGUACUCCAGCCUGGGCAAUAUAGCGAGACCCUGUCUCUA